ACGAGGCCUGCCACAACUGGUAGGUGACGGCAAAGUUCUUGAGGGCGCCCACAUAGUAGGUCUUGCGGUGGCCCUGGAGGGCCUCCAGCGCAGCAUAGGCGCCGCCGGACCGGGCCAGUUCGGCGUCGGUAAAGUGCGGCUGGAAGGCGUGGAGCAACAACUCGUCGACAGCCGUCGUGUUGGUCAGCAGGGACGCGGGCAUGCGUGCCAACUGUUCAAUGACCACCUGGCGCAUGGCCGCCACCGAGAUGGGCUCCUGCGAGGUGGCCUUGAACUGGACCGGCCCAUAGGGCAGACCGCGCGUGAUUUGGGUGACGGCCGGCAGGGCGGGCGUGCCAAAGGGCGACGUCGGAUCCAUAUUGAGCAUGUUAAAGGCGCCGCCGUCGGCGACCGGCCCGGCGGCGGCGAUGGUGCCCGUAAAGUAGUAGCGCUGGCGCACCUCCUUAAAGAGGCGCCUCUCGGCGGCGUCGAGCGCGAGCGGCUUCAUGUUUUGCUCGGUCUGCGCAUAGGCCACGAUCAACUUGCCACACACAUAGGUGAACGAACCGGCGAGGCCGUUGCCGUUGGGCGUCGUCAAGGUGCCACCGACGAUGACGGGCAGCCGCGGCGAGUAGGGCCGCACGGCAAUCAGGGUCUUGGCGUUGACCAGCACAUUGUUGGCGUCGUCGGCCGUCAGGUAGGCGCGCAUGCCGUCAUAGAUGCCGCGGCACCCGCCGGCGACGACAAAGCCCGCAUAGGGCACGGAAAAGAUGCGCGAGAUGGUGGGCGACAGGUUGAGCAGCGCGUACAGCGUGGUCAACUUGUCAAAGGCGCCCAGGCCGCCGCCCGACAGUUGCGGCACAAAGAGCGAGGGCACGAGCGGUCCCAGGUCGUGCGUGGCGAUAAACUGCGAAAAGGGCACCAGCAGUUCGGCGGGCACCGGCGAGGGCACCUCGGCGCGGUCGAUCCACGGGUACGAUGCAAUGAUGACCGACAGCCUGUAAUAGGCCGCGAGGAACUCGGGCGUGGGCGGCACCGGCGGCUGGAAGCCAUACGAGACGCCCUGGAGCAGGUUGACGGCAUAGUUGGGCGUCGUGUCCGUGGUAAAGUCGAGCGGGUAGACGCUGCCGGGGCCGGCAAAGCGCUGCACGAUGCCCACGCUGUCGAUCGUCCACGGGCCGAGGCCCACCUCGUUGGCCGCCGUCGUGUUGGCGAAAAACUGCACGCCAAUGUCGAUCCACGAGGGCAUGCCGGGGGCCGGCGCGGCAAAGUCGAUCGUGUCGCACUGGCCGCCGACGCGGUCGGCCGACUCGAUCACCACGACCGAAUGCCCGCGGUCCUUGGCAAAGACCGCCGCCGCCAUGCCCGCGGCGCCACCGCCGAGCACGCACACGUCGCGGUGACCCGUCGCCAAGCGGAACGGAGAACCGGCGUCGGCACCAGACACGGCCAGCAUCAAUAGGAUGGCGACGGCAGCACCCAGCAGCGUCGUCGCUGUUGCGCCAUUCUUGCGCGACAUGAAUCGAGUAGGGUUGCCUUGAGAUGUCAUAAAGUCCUUGUAGGUCCUUGUUUUGGAAUUGUUUGGUCCUUCGAGUCUUGGGUUUGAUGCGAGGCUGUUGUUGGCGGGUCCGACCUUGCUCUUGU
Molecule: long non-coding RNA, 1623 nt
Filed under: Pandoravirus quercus
Description: hypothetical ncRNA
Source: RNAcentral